AAUUCGAUUGAGUUUGAUCCUGGCUCAGGACGAACGCUGGCAGCGUGCUUAACACAUGCAAGUGGAGCGACGAACCGGGGCUUGCCCCGGGGCAGAGCCGCGAACGGGUGAGUAACACGUGGGUUACCUACCCCAAUGACCGGGACAACCCGAGGAAACUCGGGCUAAUACCGGAUGUGGUCUUCGGACGAAAGGAAGCUUCGGCCUCCGCAUUGGGAUGGGCCCGCGGCGCAUUAGCUUGUUGGUGGGGUAACGGCCUACCAAGGCGACGAUGCGUAGCUGGUCUGAGAGGACGAUCAGCCACACUGGGACUGAGACACGGCCCAGACUCCUACGGGAGGCAGCAGUGGGGAAUCCUGCGCAAUGCGCGAAAGCGUGACGCAGCAACGCCGCGUGGGGGAAGAAGGCCUUCGGGUUGUAAACCUCUUUCAGUUGGGACGAAGCCUCGCGCGUUAAUAGCCCGUUGAGGUGACGGUACCUUCAGAAGAAGCCCCGGCUAACUACGUGCCAGCAGCCGCGGUAAUACGUAGGGGGCAAGCGUUGUCCGGAAUCAUUGGGCGUAAAGAGCGUGUAGGCGGCCCGAUAAGUCCGCUGUGAAAGUCCAGGGCUCAACCCUGGAAUGCCGGUGGAUACUGUCGGGCUCGAAUCCGGAAGAGGUGAGUGGAAUUCCUGGUGUAGCGGUGAAAUGCGCAGAUAUCAGGAGGAACACCAAUGGCGAA
This 719-nucleotide ribosomal RNA is filed under the name uncultured bacterium. RNAcentral describes it as "bacterial SSU rRNA". It matches the Rfam family "Bacterial small subunit ribosomal RNA", at positions 1 to 719 of the family's 1533-position model. The record is from RNAcentral.